AAUUAUUUCAACUGUAAUGCUAAUUUUGCUUCAAAAGUAAUUUACUAAAAAUCGUUUCUAUAUGAUCUCAAGCAGUUAUCACGAGAAGUACACAGCUUGUGCAACAAUGUGAACACCACCUAAAAACAUCUGAAAACAUGUUUUCUGAAAAUCUUCCUAAUUUUUGG
Caenorhabditis elegans is the source of this 167-nucleotide non-coding RNA. Lineage: Eukaryota; Metazoa; Nematoda; Chromadorea; Rhabditida; Rhabditidae. The record is from Ensembl.